GAUGAACGCUGGCGGCGUGCCUAAUACAUGCAAGUCGAGCGAACAGACGAGGAGCUUGCUCCUCUGACGUUAGCGGCGGACGGGUGAGUAACACGUGGAUAACCUACCUAUAAGACUGGGAUAACUUCGGGAAACCGGAGCUAAUACCGGAUAAUAUAUUGAACCGCAUGGUUCAAUAGUGAAAGACGGUUUUGCUGUCACUUAUAGAUGGAUCUGCGCCGCAUUAGCUAGUUGGUAAGGUAACGGCUUACCAAGGCAACGAUGCGUAGCCGACCUGAGAGGGUGAUCGGCCACACGAGAGCUGAGACACGGUCCAGACUCCUACGGGAGGCAGCAGUAGGGAAUCUUCCGCAAUGGGCGAAAGCUUGACGGAGCAACGCCGCGUGAGUGAUGAAGGUCUUCGGAUCGUAAAACUCUGUUAUUAGGGAAGAACAAAUGUGUAAGUAACUAUGCACGUCUUGACGGUACCUAAUCAGAAAGCCACGGCUAACUACGUG
This 497-nucleotide ribosomal RNA is filed under the name uncultured bacterium. RNAcentral's name for it is "partial 16S ribosomal RNA". It matches the Rfam family "Bacterial small subunit ribosomal RNA", at positions 28 to 507 of the family's 1533-position model. The record is from RNAcentral.